CCAAGUUGCUUUGGUCACGGUGUUUCCUCACAGCGGCGGUCACCCUGACUGGGAUGGCAUCGAAGCUCCCAGAGGACCCCUGUGGCUCAUCCUUAUGAGUCAGGACCUAUCUGGUCUGGCUGGUGCCAGUUCUGAGCACUAUCAGAGAGGCCUCUGCAAGCCUGAGACAUAUGCAUUCAAAGAGCUGACAUGUUACGUGGGAGUAUUAAAGGACAGCCACAUCGUGGGCACUCCGAAAGCCUUGGCAGGGUGUGAGUAAGCACAUCGCACUGGGUAAAAAUAACUAAACCCGAGUGGCAGCUGUGCGGCUCAACACCAAGAGCUCCAUUGUUCUGGGUAGUCAGUCAGGACAUAAAGGCCAAUCCCCGCUGCGGCUGCUCUGUCUUUGCAAGAAUAAACCAAUCCUGGGGCGGCUCCAACACUCCCUUGGGGCCCAGAGUGGAAAGCCAUUGGUCUGCUUCAGAGUUUAGGAGCCACAGUCCCGGAGCUCCGGUUUGCCUCUGUGGCACCUGGUUGCCACAGUCUUACUGCCUGAGCUGUCUCCUCUUCAGAAGACCUGUGACAAUCUCUUCACACUGAUUUGGAAGCUGUUCGGGGUGGAGAGAGACCUCCUUUCACCUAAAGGGGCUCACCAUCCUGGGACGCCAUCACCAGGGUGAUUCUGAAGAUUUUGUGCAUUCUGCAAAGCCACCUGUAUGUCUUAACAGCUGCCAUAGGCAGGGGGCAGUGGCUGGGGGUGGGGGUGGGGUGGGGCAGGCUGUGAGCCGCUGCUGGGAUUGAGGGAAUUUGAGCAUAGUUGCUUGGAUAUGCGUGGUCCCAGAUUUCCAGCCUCUGAGGUAAGUAAGACGUGCCAUCCUGGGAGUGGGUUGGCUUUGACUGUGGGUGGCAAGUUUUCCCUCUCUCAGAGCAUCUUGUAACUGGUGGCCAUUAAGUUCUACAUCUUGGGGUUGACCUAGAUACCAGUUUCUAUCUGGAUUAUCUGGGGUCUCUCUCACAGGCACAUGCUGCAUGCCUAUGAACUAAGCCCUUACACCCCAAAUUCCUCCCCCUGUUAACUGUGCCCCUUAGGCACACAGGAGCUUUCUUGGCCUCCACCCACUACAGCCACAGGGCCCUACUGCUUUAAGAUUCAUCAGACAGUUGCUGGCCCCAGGAAACAUUCCCUGCCCCUCUUCCAGGCUUGUCUGCCUGACAUGCACACAGUCAAACAGUGUCCGUGUGCUCUCGAUGGCCACCGGUCAUGUGACCACACUCCUGCCAAUCACAUCUAGCCUCUACUCUCCUCGGAUGUUCUUCGUACAGAGGACAGCAGCAUCUCUGACCCACCCUAGGCUGGGCACAGCCACGCCCUUCCUAUGUUGUCCUGCUUGCCAACAUCUUCUGUGGGUCUGGUUUCAUGUGCCCAUAGGAUCUCAAGCAGAGCUCGGGACCCAGAGCAAGCUGAAUUCACGCAUCUGCAACUACCAAGCCCAUACGCUCCAGCGUGGCCUGGAGCGGUCUACGCACACUUCACUCUACAGUCUCUAUGAAGAGAAAUUUGACAAGUAUCAUUACCAAACUUCAACAAGGCCUGGGGUGCGGAUAGACUCACCUGGCUCAGGUCCUGUGAGGAGACUCAAGGAGCCUGUGUACCUCUUGGAGCUUUGUGGUCACUCAGUGUGUGAGCCGAUCAGGCUAUUCCAACUGUCUUAAUAACUUCCUCAGGUGAGUCAAUAGCGUGACUGAAAUAACCAAGCUGACGACAUCCAGUCGAUAUUCUGACCGACUGACUAAAGGCCAGGGGGCCCAACCAUUCGGGACACUGAGUAUGUCCCCAAGUCCUCUCUGAGGGCUCCUGAGCCUAUGGUCUAGAGGGAGAAAUAAGAAACUCGCCUGGCAUUAACUGUUCAUCUUCUCCUGUCACAGGGGGGACGGCCUAGUGUCUCUACAUGCCCCAUGCCAUGGUGCCAUGCUGCCUUCCACUAGUAGUGCCAAUGUCUCGGUGGUGGUGUGUAAGCAGGGCGUUCUUUAGGGAGACUUGCUAAGUGUCCUUAGAUCAAGAGUGUUAGUGUGUCUAAGCCCAGCCUGGCUGGUUGGGCUGAAGCCAUGCUAUGCAACACGUUUCAGUUCCCAACCAGUUAGAAGCUAGCGUUAUCGCCAAGGUACCGCCCAACAGCUCACCACCUGCCCGUCACCAGGGACCAACACUUGAGGCCACUUGGGGCCUUUCAGACAUGAAAAGGGGUUUUAUCUAACAGCCCCAGAUGGAGUUUUGGAACGCUCCCCAAAGCUCUCACCGUCAUCUCCGAUGUUUUCAGUUAGGGCAGCGCAGAUGCUUUCCUAAGAUUUAUGGGCCAGCAUUAACAGAUUAGAGCAGAGACUUAAGUUCUUUUCUGGUGAGCUAGCCACACCUGGCCCUGUCACACCAAGGCCCUACACCGAGGAGUGACACCGAGGAGUGAGGAGUUCACUGGGAUUUCCCAGCUCACUCCAGUGAGUCAAAACUGUGCAUAACAGUCAUUAUAAUAAAAAUUUCCUCGUUCAUGUGGAUCUUUGGUUAUCAUCCCUCGGGCCAUCCACUGUCUGUGAGUGAGCUUCUGUCCUCUUCCAGAAAGCCUCUCUCAGAUCUGCAGGCCCAGCCUUUCGUGUUCUCCCAACUCCUGGUAGGCUCCAGAUGGAGUAAACCUGGGGAAAUGGAAUUCUAACACUCUCACCUUGAGAUCUUUGCCUUAGCUCAUCUGCCUGAGGCACUCUGUCCUCAGACCAGCUGGUGCCAGGCCCAGGGGACAGACUCAUUGUUCUCUCUCCAGGGCAGCCUCAAGCUCCUAGCCCAGGGCUGCUCCCCACCACACCACCGGGGUAGCCAGUUACCAUGUGACCCCUUAGAGUUCCCAGUGCAAUUUCAAGAGCCAUUCUGCUUCUGCCCAUGGACCUCUACUGCACCAAAAUGUGAGCAGGAAGUGUGUCUGUUUUCUUUUCCAGUUCACUCCGGUUGCCCAGAGUUCUGAGCAUGAGCAUCGGACCUUCUCGGAAGCCUGUGGAUGCAGUAGGAGCCCCCGUGGAUGCCUAUGGGCAACUGUAGGCAGCAUGCAGACCUCCUACCCCUCUGCCCUCCUGGCUCUAGCCUCAGCUUUAUAAAUCUGUUUCCUACCCCAGCAGGGCAGCUUCUCUGUCCUCCUGCGUGUUUCUGCCCCCCCCCACGCUCCUUCCAAGGAGCCUUUCCUAGCUGUGAGUUGAUGCCACAACCCCGUGGAAGCCUCUCUGUGCUCCGUGUGGGUUCUGACACCCAAGCCAUCUCAUGUGGUCCCCUCCCACACUGCCUCGGUUCUUCUGAGCUGAUGCCAGAACACUCCAGAGUCUUUGCUGCACGACCACACCUCACACUGGAGCCCCAGGAUGGCUUGUGGGGCCUUAUGCUGCCUUCGUCAGGGCACUCUGCCCAGCUGCAGUGUGUAGACACGACUGAGCCCAUUUUCCAUGUCCCUCAGGUACUUGGAUGAGCUAUAGAGCCCGACCCAGGAUGGAACAGAAUCUUCCCUUCCGUGGCCAACACAAACAGGGGGCCCAUAAACCUUCCUAAUUUAGGCAGGCAGGCAGGCAGGCAGGCAAGGUCAGGACGGGAGACUAAACAAUCAUCUCAGGACACACCCAGGCUGCUCAGUCCUCAGGAAUGCCUACGACAUCGACAUCGGGACUUCUACAGAGAACAGCAGACCUCUUUGAGCACAGGCAGCCUUGGGUCAAUCCAGUUCCUCAUCAGCUAUGGACAGCAGGGCCUUGCUGGACUGCUCCAUGGUCGGGGGUGUGGCAGCGAUGCUGGGUACCUGCUCUGCUCUGAGCAUUCUCUGGCAGAGAGCACUCCUCUGCCUCAGUUUCCUUGUAGGAGAAGUGGAGGUCUCAAACUCCAAUGGGCAAACCAGUAGGCAGCCUUCCCCCAUGACUCCUCCCUUGAGUUUCUGCCCCGGCUUCCCCCUGAGCAGUAGGUGUAAGCAGAAAUAAACCCCUCUCUCCCCAAA
RNAcentral lists this small RNA (3995 nucleotides) under Rattus norvegicus (Norway rat). Its description in RNAcentral is "uncharacterized LOC102548530". The record is from RNAcentral. Lineage: Eukaryota; Metazoa; Chordata; Mammalia; Rodentia; Muridae.